AUCGAGUAGAAAUCGGUUUAUACAAAUAUUGAGGUUGUUCCAAAGCUCUAGGCCGUCAUUUUGUUCCUGAUUCAAAUCAAAUUCAAGGAUCAACAGACGAACUGGAUUCUCUCUUUGGAGGGAAAACAUCAACUAAAGAUGCAAUGCUAUAUACCGCGAUUAUCAUUUUCAUCAUAAGCUGUGUUGCCCUUUUAUUCGUGAUAUUUGGUUUGUUUGUGAUGCACCAAUCAUACAAGAGAAGAUACAGGCAAGUGCAAGCAGCUUCCGUAGAGGUAGAUCGAUGGCGUGGGGAAGUUGAUGAAUUCAUUCUUGAUUCACACCGAAUGGUUCCUAUUCCAAGGGCAAAGAGCAUGCAGCCGAGAUCGAGUACAUUAGUUGAAGCCAUGUCAUAAGAUAUAUCUUGCAAGAGAAGACUUACUUGAAAAGACAAUCUGAGUAUAUUUUUACCCGACACUAUAUCUACCUUCAUCACUGACUUCUACCGUCACAUGCCAAUCAAUGGGAAGGGAAACUAGGGGGACUGGGGGAGAGCCUCCCCUCCUCCUCUCCCCAAUCUUCACUUCCUCCACGUCCAAAUUUUCUGUGCGCCUCUGUUGAAGUGUCAGGAAAUUUCGCGUCAAAAUAUGCUCGUUAGUUAGCUAUAUAUGAGUUUGUUGCUCAGGGAGUUACAGAUAGAUAUGUAGACUGAUACAUAAGAAAUUUGAUUUUUUUUUUUUUUUUAAAGAAAAAAAAAAAGCUAAGAAAAAAGAUCCAUGGUGUGGCGUAAACUAUUGUCUUUGCCAACCGAUGAAGCAAAGCAACUUGGCAAGAACAUUUCUGAUGAUGGUUGGCAAACUAACAUCACAAUGCUAAUAGUUGUAAACAAAAUCUAGCGCUAUAUAUAGAAAUAAAUAAUAUUCACUUUAAAACUUUCUCUAUCCGCCCUUCGUACAACCGGGACCUGAUGAUUGGAAACCUAUUGUUUGUCCUCAAAAUUGAGCUGCAUUCCGACGUGCUGCAAGGGGACUAUAGACAUGAAGCAUGAUGAACAAAAGAUGUUCCUACUGAAGCUAGACCACAAUGCACCAUGUUCGCUAUCUCGAAAAAGGUCUAUAGAGCGUUUUCACGUGACGUCACAACGGCCAUCUUGGUGUACCAACACACUACACUUUCUAUCUUCGGGGAAUUGAACUUUAUUUUUAUGCAAAAACUGUGGAGAAAGUUUCUAUUGUUUGGUACUGUACAUCAAUAUGGCUGCCUUGUCACGUGAGUGAAAACGCUCUAUAGAUUAGUUUGAAUGAAUAUCAUCUUUACAUAUUACACGCACGAAAGAGUUCAUCAUGUUUAUAGACUUUGUGUUUACAGGUUUCAAAACUCUGUUGAGGUAUUAUUCUCCUGUGUUUUAGCCUGACAAAGAGUUCCCAAACCCUCUCGAGCUUGUUUUCGAUCAGUUUAUCGACUGCAUAUAAGCUGUUCUUCUUUUCGUUCUUUGAUAAACUCAAAAACCUGUCCUAAGUAGAGUGACGUACCAAAGAAAUAAUUCAAAUAGUUUGAAUAAGUUAUAAGUCUUUAUAUCGAUCCAUCGUGACGCCAGAGCUGAAGUAUACAAACUUAUUAAAUCUCUACUUUUAUCACUGUAUCGGCGACAAUAUGGUCACAAAAUUCAGCUGCAUUUCAGUUGUUUUACUGCUUUUACUUCUAGUAAACAAAGCAUCUGCAAAUGAUUUGAAUACUUUGUUUGGCAUAUCGUCAGGAGAUGAUGACACAGUGCUCUACGUGACAAUUGCUUUCGUCGUGUUGGCUGUUGUUCUACUUAUUUGCAUGAUCAUCUGUUUGUAUUGGUUAUACAAAGUGAUACAGGGAAUUAUCAAAAAGAGGCAAGAAGAGAUGGAAGAGAGACGUCGAUGGCAUGGUGGAGUUGAUGACAUCAUUGACGACGCACAAAAAAUGGUUCCAUUGCCAAGGGCAACCAACACGUUAGAAAAAGGCUACAUAAAUAACAGCUACUCGAAUACAGGCAUCGACUUCGUUAACAGCCGCAUUUAGAAUAGAAAAAUAUGUAAAGCACUAAUGUACCAUGGAGAAGCGUACGUUAUAUUUCUUAUAAUUAUACUGAAAAAUACAGUCAACGCAUUGGUAUAGGUCAACAAAUGUUGUUGGUGAAGUUUGCAAUAGAUUGACACGUAAUUGAUACUGGAUGGCAAAACAAAUUGGACUCUUCAUUUAAAGAUUUUUUUUGCUGGAUUACUAAUGUCAUAUCAAAACCCUUUUCAAAAAUAGCAGUCAUAUAUCCACACGUGACUGUUUGUUGCAAAAGGCCUAUUGCAUGACAAUCUAAAGCGAACUAAAGAAAGGUCAUACCUUAAGCUAAAAAAAUAAUCCUAUUUUUAAAGCGACAAUCGUACAUAUUUUGAAACCACCACUCCCCAUAAGGGGCUCUUCCAAGAGGUUACCUCCACAAAGACUACCACGAUUACAUUCUGUUUCUUGCCAAAUCCAAAAUAGCGAAAAAGAAUCUAUCGACUCAAGCUAGUCGGCCCGCUAUUUCAAAAGAAAACAAACAUCAACAUUUUUGCUACACUUUUAUUUUUAAAACCAGCCCUUGAAUUAACAAUAAGGGCAGACUGUUUCUGCGCGAAACUUUACAUAGUAAAGAUUAAACAAUGCAUGGCUUAGAUUUACAGGUGCUAACUACAGUAGUUCUACUUCUAAUAUGUUUACAAGUUGCAUAUUGGCAUAUACUUGACUACAAAUCCUUAAUUCGAUACUUGAAAUGACAAAUAGACAAACCAAUUUGAAAAUUAUUUGGAGAAAAGAACCCAACGGGACAACGAAUACAAAAAAAACCCCUCAAACUUCAAUGAUUUUUUUGUAUUCUUUUCCUGCCUAGUUCUCUUACACAAGAUAAUUUUCGAAGUGGUCUUUAUGGAGAUAACUAAGGUUCAAAGUGCCAGCAUUUUAUCGAUGUUAAGUGCAGAAAACAGUUGGUUAAAUUUAUGCUUUUAUCGAAAAAGCAAAUCAAUAAUAAUCCCAACACUCUUAAAUUUCCAGGGCAGGGGAAGUCGAAAAAAUCAAUAUUAUUAACGUAAGUUUCGUUGACGCCAUCUUGAAAAGUCACCAAGCCUCUUUUCGUUAUUGCGUCAAUUUUGUGUAGGAGGCUAAGUUACUUUUCAAAAUGGCCGAAAGGAAAGGGAAAAAACGAGCGGUUUUUAGCAUCUCUGGAUUAAGUGCUUGAAAUCUGUACAUAAAAAAUUAUACAAUUUACCACGAAUAAGAUUAAAGAGCACAAAAAACCAA
This 3276-nucleotide unclassified non-coding RNA is filed under the name Actinia tenebrosa (Australian red waratah sea anemone). RNAcentral describes it as "uncharacterized LOC116286366, transcript variant X1". The record is from RNAcentral. Lineage: Eukaryota; Metazoa; Cnidaria; Anthozoa; Actiniaria; Actiniidae.